CAGCCGCCGCGGUAAUACGAAAGGGGCUAGCGUUGCUCGGAAUGACUGGGCGUAAAGGGCGCGUAGGCGGCGAUCAAAGUCAGACGUGAAAUUCCUGGGCUCAACCUGGGGGCUGCGUUUGAUACUUGAUUGCUAGAGUGGGGAAGAGGGUCGUGGAAUUCCCAGUGUAGAGGUGAAAUUCGUAGAUAUUGGGAAGAACACCGGUGGCGAAGGCGGCGACCUGGUCCUUGACUGACGCUGAGGCGCGAAAGCGUGGGGAGCAAACAGGAUUAGAUACCCGCGUAGUCCCUGUCUCUUAUAC
RNAcentral lists this ribosomal RNA (301 nucleotides) under uncultured bacterium. RNAcentral's name for it is "partial 16S ribosomal RNA". It matches the Rfam family "Bacterial small subunit ribosomal RNA", at positions 509 to 807 of the family's 1533-position model. The record is from RNAcentral.